RNAcentral lists this unclassified non-coding RNA (25 nucleotides) under Mus musculus (house mouse). Its description in RNAcentral is "oocyte_clustered_small_RNA11885". Lineage: Eukaryota; Metazoa; Chordata; Mammalia; Rodentia; Muridae. The record is from RNAcentral.
UAAAGGCAGGCAUGAGAGUGGAGGA